AAAUUGAUCUGGCUGAGACGUCUGUCACCCCAUUGAUCACCAGGUUUGUUCUGACUGGCUGGGCUAGUGUCCCCUUCCUCUGUCACUGCUCCAUAUGCGUCCCUCCCAAAGCUGCGCACUCAGUUGACGAGAUCGACCUUCCCUGGUAAAGGUAGUACUGUUCAUCAGUCAAGGGUAUAUGGUAGCUGUGCUCCCCUGCCAGAACCUCCAGACAAACUUCUUCAAACUAACUGCUACCUGAGAAGGAACUUCAGUAUUAUUUUUAAUUAAAAAUAAAAGAUAAAAGUAACUUU
This 293-nucleotide small nuclear RNA is filed under the name Leptosomus discolor (cuckoo roller). RNAcentral's name for it is "7SK RNA". It matches the Rfam family "7SK RNA". Rfam says of the family: 7SK was discovered as an abundant small nuclear RNA in the mid-70s but a possible function has only recently been suggested. Two independent studies have found that 7SK RNA binds the CDK9/cyclin T complex (known as elongation factor P-TEFb). P-TEFb activates transcription by phosphorylating the C-terminal domain of RNA polymerase II. Lineage: Eukaryota; Metazoa; Chordata; Aves; Leptosomiformes; Leptosomidae. The record is from Rfam by way of RNAcentral.